AGCUCUCCGAUGGGCACAGGCUCCACUUAUGGCUGGUUUGGAAUGGCAAAUCCAUCACUCUCUUUGCCUGUAAAAUGCCAAGGAGACUGAUCUAAGCAGGGGGUUCCCAUCCAUGGCCUGCUCUAGGCCUGAAGGAACACAGAUGGCAUUUGCAGGAAGAUGACAUCUCACCAUCCCCAUCUGAGCAAAGCCUGCCCAUCAAACAACCAAAGGAUAGCCAGUCCCCUGCACAGUGUAAAGUGACUUGCAGUGAUCCUCUUCCCCAAGGCCAGCCCCAGCUCUCAGACCUCCAGUCCCAACAAGUCUUUUUUUGCAAAGGAGGCUCACCCUGGAACAUGGCUCUCCCAAGGGGAGACAGGAACGGAUGUUGACUUCAUCCCAGCAGCUUCUGACACAAUGCCACUAUCUUUCAACUUUCUCCACCAACAGGGUCAGGCUGUUGAUUGGCCUCGACUGCAGUUAGCCUGACACGGCUAGCAGCCUCAAAACAAAUUAAACGAGGCAGGGAUGCCGUGCAGUGAUCGUUCCAUUAUGUCCCCUCUGCUUCCACACGUGACUCACACUAUCACUUUUAGAAGGUGAAGCAUCUUAUUGAAUCAACACCUAAUCUGCACACAGUGUCACGGAGGAGGGGCGAGGGGACAGCGGGAGCAUUUUCUCUGAUCCUUUUCUUUCCUGAAGACUUCGCUGGAGACAGGCUGGGUGGGGGCGAAGAUGAAUUGUGAGGAACCCUGACCCUAUUUCAGUACUGCUGCUACUGUCAGCUCCGACAGAUUUAUAGCCCAUUCAUUCAUGGGAACAAAAACCCUGCCACGGCUGGUCAUGGGACACGCAAUAGCAGUUAGUUCAAAAGAUAACAGCUGCAAUACCUCACCUCUCCAUUCAGCACUACAGAGCCAGCACUACUUCGGAGUCCACCCAACACAAGCUGGGUUGCUGAACCUUUGCAACUCAAGCACUUAGGCAACGCUGAAAAGCCGAGCUUCCUCGUGGUAAGUGGCAAUGUGGGUAUAUACAUUCUCCUUGCAAACUGAUCAGAAACAGAGCUCGGGCAUGAGUCCUGUCCCGACAAGAAGAGGCAGCUGGUCUGACUAGUCCACCACCAUCCUCAGAGCCUGGACACACACAACAAGCAUGUAUUAAAAGAAUCCAUGGA
Homo sapiens (human) is the source of this 1156-nucleotide long non-coding RNA. The record is from Ensembl. NCBI's taxonomy places the organism in Eukaryota, Metazoa, Chordata, Mammalia, Primates, Hominidae.